This is a long non-coding RNA of Anthonomus grandis grandis, 461 nucleotides long. RefSeq lists it as uncharacterized. The transcript has 2 exons. The record is from RefSeq and is a predicted model, not a curated record. NCBI's taxonomy places the organism in Eukaryota, Metazoa, Arthropoda, Insecta, Coleoptera, Curculionidae.
GUUAUUUUUGUUAAUUCCUCUAAGAGUAUAUAAGGAGAUUUCGAUGUAACGAUUACUUAUAUUUUAUUAACAAGCAGUGAAGUUGUCUAGUAAGAAAUGGCGAAUUUUGCAGGCAAAAUGGUACUCAUAAGUUUUAUACUUGCAUUACUGGCCGUCACAGGCAGUUUGGCAGCACCAUAUCCAGUGCCACUUCCUGAAGCUCUUCCAUAAUAUUACAAUGGAUAUUCUGGAUAUGUUUACCCUGGAUAUAGUGCUUAUGGAAGCUACCCUUAUGGGCUUAAUUAUUUUUAUAGAUAGAGAAACGACGUGUUAAAUAUGAUUAUAAUUAUUCGCUGAAGUGAAAAUCUCUUUUUUUUAUUUUUCUUUGAUUUCUUUGCUUGUUAGAUAUAAAUAAACCUUAAGCAUUUGAGUUAUACUUUAGAAAGCAUAUAAGCUUAUUAAAAAUAAAUUACUUAAGCAGG